This 380-nucleotide ribosomal RNA is filed under the name Salmonella enterica. Its description in RNAcentral is "partial 23S ribosomal RNA". It matches the Rfam family "Bacterial large subunit ribosomal RNA", at positions 1181 to 1560 of the family's 2925-position model. Lineage: Bacteria; Pseudomonadati; Pseudomonadota; Gammaproteobacteria; Enterobacterales; Enterobacteriaceae. The record is from RNAcentral.
GUCAAAGCGUUCAUUAAAGUCGAGUUGGCUUAGGGAUACGUUCGUUGGGUAGGGGAGCGUUCUGUAAGCCUGUGAAGGUGUGUCGUGAGGCAUGCUGGAGGUAUCAGAAGUGCGAAUGCUGACAUAAGUAACGAUAAAGCGGGUGAAAAGCCCGCUCGCCGGAAGACCAAGGGUUCCUGUCCAACGUUAAUCGGGGCAGGGUGAGUCGACCCCUAAGGCGAGGCCGAAAGGCGUAGUCGAUGGGAAACGGGUUAAUAUUCCCGUACUUGGUGUUACUGCGAAGGGGGGACGGAGAAGGCUAUGUUGGCCGGGCGACGGUUGUCCCGGUUUAAGCGUGUAGGUGUGUGUUCCAGGUAAAUCCGGUUCACUUUAACACUGAG